AUGUAAAUGCAAUCUGGCUGGGACAGCUCUCACCCCAGUGAUGGCCAGGGCUGAGUCAGCAGAUCUCACUAGACAGGGGUCCCCAUCCUCCCUCAUGGCU
RNAcentral lists this small nuclear RNA (100 nucleotides) under Monodelphis domestica (gray short-tailed opossum). RNAcentral's name for it is "7SK RNA". Lineage: Eukaryota; Metazoa; Chordata; Mammalia; Didelphimorphia; Didelphidae. The record is from Rfam by way of RNAcentral.